AUGGGUGUGGUGCUAAUGGUAACACAGCGGUCUCCAAAACCGAAGACGAGGGUUCGAUUCCUUCCACCUGUGCCA
Molecule: transfer RNA, 75 nt
Filed under: Methanobacteriota archaeon
Lineage: Archaea; Methanobacteriati; Methanobacteriota
Description: Euryarchaeota archaeon tRNA-Trp
Rfam family: tRNA
About the family: Transfer RNA (tRNA) molecules are approximately 80 nucleotides in length.
Source: RNAcentral